UGACAUUGAUAGAAUACUGGAAGGUGACCCAGGCACGGUGCCAGCGAUGGGGAAGGCUGCAGGUGUCUGAGGCGUCUGCGCAUUUGAACAGUGGUUCUAUGAAAAUGGGGGUGGAGUUGUUGAGCGUUUUUGAGUGAAUAGAUGUGGCUCGGAAUAUGUGCUGUCACUUCAGCAAACGUGACCGGGCAGGGCGUGUUUGGUGAUGGCAUCUGAGUGCUGAGGCAUUGCUUCCAGCUCCCAGGUUUGUGCCUCGUCACGGUGGUGAGUUCACGCGCACCCUCCCAUUUUGGGAUCAGCUCCAGCUGCCCUGGAGGGUCUCUCACCUCCAUCCAGGUGUCAGAGUGGAGACAGGGUGCUUAUGGUCACUGUGUCCGGGGCCUUCUUUCAGAUUUUGGAGGCAACAUCAACGUGGAGACCAUCAGUGCCUUCAUCGACGGCGGUGGCAGCGUUUUGGUGGCUGCCAGCUCUGAUAUCGGUGACCCUCUUCGGGAGCUAGGCAGUGAGUGUGGGAUUGAAUUUGAUGAGGAAAAAACAGCUGUCAUC
This 543-nucleotide long non-coding RNA is filed under the name Rattus norvegicus (Norway rat). Its description in RNAcentral is "long non-coding RNA NONRATT022783". The record is from RNAcentral. Lineage: Eukaryota; Metazoa; Chordata; Mammalia; Rodentia; Muridae.